This 403-nucleotide ribosomal RNA is filed under the name uncultured bacterium. RNAcentral describes it as "bacterial SSU rRNA". It matches the Rfam family "Bacterial small subunit ribosomal RNA", at positions 355 to 775 of the family's 1533-position model. The record is from RNAcentral.
UGAGGAAUAUUGCACAAUGGAGGAAACUCUGAUGCAGCAACGCCGCGUGGAGGAUGACGCAUUUCGGUGUGUAAACUCCUUUUAAGAGGGAAGAUAAUGACGGUACCUCUUGAAUAAGCACCGGCUAACUCCGUGCCAGCAGCCGCGGUAAUACGGAGGGUGCAAGCGUUACUCGGAAUCACUGGGCGUAAAGGGUGCGUAGGCUGGCUUCUAAGUCAGAUGUGAAAUCCAAUGGCUUAACCAUUGAACUGCAUUUGAAACUGGAAGCCUAGAGUUCAGAAGGGGCAGAUGGAAUUAGUGGUGUAGGGGUAAAAUCCGUAGAUAUCACUAGGAAUAUCAAAAGCGAAGGCGAUCUGCUGGGAUGAUACUGACGCUGAGGCACGAAAGCGUGGGGAGCAAACAG